AAACCAGCACCUCAAGUGGUCAGGAUGAUUAUUGGGCCUAAAGCAUCCGUAGCCUGCUCUGUAAGUUUUCGGUUAAAUCUGUACGCUCAACGUACAGGCUGCCGGGAAUACUGCAGAGCUAGGGAGUGGGAGAGGUAGACGGUACUCGGGAGGAAGUGGUAAAAUGCUUUGAUCUCUCGAUGACCACCUGUGGCGAAGGCGGUCUACCAGAACACGUCCGACGGUGAGGGAUGAAAGCUGGGGGAGCAAACCGAAUUAGAAACCCGGGUAGUCC
This 274-nucleotide ribosomal RNA is filed under the name uncultured bacterium. RNAcentral describes it as "partial 16S ribosomal RNA". It matches the Rfam family "Archaeal small subunit ribosomal RNA", at positions 473 to 747 of the family's 1478-position model. The record is from RNAcentral.